AGCAAAUUCAUCUAGAUUCCUUCAUAAUCUUGAGGAACAACCUUUAAACUUGGAAUAUAAGUCUGCAUUAGUCAUCAUCAUGGACUCAGAAGAAAGUUUCAGCAGAAGUUUGUCUUAGGAUUUUGCUAUAAUAGCAAAUUGACAGGAACACAUUAAGGACGGACGUCGAGUGCAUUUGAAUGAAAGAGACUUGACCAAGCUCGACAGAAUUGUUGGUGAGCCGCUACAGCCAGGGGGCUAUCUGAAACUGUUUUGAGUUGGGUCUUAAAGGUAACGAGAGCAUCUGUCGCUGAAAAUUUGUUUUUCAGCUCAAUAAUUCUCAAAACAUAGAUGGAUGUGUUUAUCUCUUUGUUCAAUUAAUGGAACCCUGCGUCUUGCUCUUGUCUUGCAAUAGCUCUUCGAUCUAAUUGGUAACUAAUUACAUGCAAUAAGGGUUGAAAGAAAGAAUUAGUCCUCUUUA
Carya illinoinensis is the source of this 460-nucleotide long non-coding RNA. RefSeq lists it as uncharacterized. NCBI's taxonomy places the organism in Eukaryota, Viridiplantae, Streptophyta, Magnoliopsida, Fagales, Juglandaceae. The record is from RefSeq and is a predicted model, not a curated record. The transcript has 2 exons.